RNAcentral lists this ribosomal RNA (253 nucleotides) under uncultured bacterium. Its description in RNAcentral is "partial 16S ribosomal RNA". It matches the Rfam family "Bacterial small subunit ribosomal RNA", at positions 524 to 776 of the family's 1533-position model. The record is from RNAcentral.
UACGGAGGGUGCGAGCGUUGUUCGGAAUCACUGGGCGUAAAGCGCGUGUAGGCGGCCCACUAAGUCUGAUGUGAAAGCCCGGGGCUCACCCCCGGAAGUGCAUUGGAAACUGGUGGACUCGAGUCCCGGAGAGGAGAGUGGAAUUCCUGGUGUAGCGGUGAAAUGCGUAGAUAUCGUAAGGAAGACCAGUGGCGAAGGCGGGUCUCUGGACAGUUCCUGACACUGAGACACGAAGGCCAGGGGAGCAAACGGG